Non-coding RNA from Mycena metata, 88 nucleotides. Lineage: Eukaryota; Fungi; Basidiomycota; Agaricomycetes; Agaricales; Mycenaceae. The record is from the annotation of a GenBank genome assembly.
UCGGAUGUGGUGUAUGGUGCACCGCCUCUCUCCGUGAGUCGGUAUAGAGGUGAAGAGGCAAGCCGGGGUUCAAUUCCCCGCAUCCGAG